RNAcentral lists this ribosomal RNA (752 nucleotides) under uncultured bacterium. RNAcentral describes it as "bacterial SSU rRNA". It matches the Rfam family "Bacterial small subunit ribosomal RNA", at positions 51 to 814 of the family's 1533-position model. The record is from RNAcentral.
AUACAUGCAGUCGAACGGUGUCUUCGGACAUAGUGGCGCACGGGUGCGUAACACGUAUGCAACCUACCUUACAUUGGGGGAUAGCCUUUCGAAAGGGAGAUUAAUACCGCAUAAGACAGUAAAUGGGCAUCCAUUAGCUGUUAAAGAUUUAUCGAUGUAAGCUGGGCAUGCGACCAAUUAGUUAGUUGGCGAGGUAAUGGCUCACCAAGACUAUGAUUGGUAGGGGAACUGAGAGGUCAAUCCCCCACACUGGCACUGAGAUACGGGCCAGACUCCUACGGGAGGCAGCAGUAGGGAAUAUUGGGCAAUGGACGCAAGUCUGACCCAGCCAUGCCGCGUGCAGGAUGAAGGCGUUAUGCGUCGUAAACUGCUUUUAUACAGGAAGAAACGACUCUUGCGAGGGGCAUUGACGGUACUGUAUGAAUAAGCACCGGCUAACUCCGUGCCAGCAGCCGCGGUAAUACGGAGGGUGCAAGCGUUGUCCGGAUUUAUUGGGUUUAAAGGGUGCGCAGGUGGUUUAUUAAGUCAGUGGUGAAAGACGGUCGCUCAACGAUUGCAGUGCCAUUGAAACUAGUAGACUUGAGUAAAGUAGAGGUGGGCGGAAUUGAUAGUGUAGCGGUGAAAUGCAUAGAUUUUAUCAAGAACUCCAAUUGCGAAAGGCAGCUCACUUGGCUUUUACUGACACUCAUGCACGAAAGUGUGGGUAUCAAACAGGAUUAGAUACCCUGGUAGUCCACACUGUAACGAUGAUA